This is a long non-coding RNA of Ostrea edulis (European flat oyster), 309 nucleotides long. RefSeq lists it as uncharacterized. Lineage: Eukaryota; Metazoa; Mollusca; Bivalvia; Ostreida; Ostreidae. The transcript is spliced from 2 exons. The record is from RefSeq and is a predicted model, not a curated record.
UUAUAGAUUCAGUCCAUCCUACACACACAUAAAGAAAAGUUACUAUGUGUAAAUUCAAUACAUGCAUGUAUGUUACAUAAAAGGUAAAAGAACAGACAACAUUCCCUCUCCCUGAACAAAAUUAGAGUCUCCCAGUGAAGGUUUGGUACAGUGAACAAAAUUAGGGUCUCCCAGUGAAGGGUUGGUACAGUGAACAAAAUUAGAGUCUCCCAGUGAAGGGUUGGUACAGUGAACAAAAUUAGGGUCUCCCAUGAAGGGUUGGUACAGUGAACAAAAUUAGGGUCUCCCAGUGAAGGGUUGGUACAGUGA